Molecule: ribosomal RNA, 442 nt
Filed under: uncultured bacterium
Lineage: Bacteria
Description: partial 16S ribosomal RNA
Rfam family: Bacterial small subunit ribosomal RNA
Source: RNAcentral
CCUACGGGAGGCAGCAGUGGGGCAUAUUGGGCAAUGGGCGAAAGCCUGACCCAGCAACGCCGCGUGAAGGAAGAAGGCUUUCGGGUUGUAAACUUCUUUUGACAGGGAAGAGCAGAAGACGGUACCUGUCGAAUAAGCCACGGCUAACUACGUGCCAGCAGCCGCGGUAAUACGUAGGUGGCAAGCGUUGUCCGGAUUUACUGGGUGGAAAGGGCGUGUAGCCGGGCUGACAAGUCAGAUGUGAAAUCCGGGGGCUCAACCCCCGAACUGCAUUUGAAACUGUUGGUCUUGAGUAUCGGAGAGGCAGGCGGAAUUCCGAGUGUAGCGGUGAAAUGCGUAGAUAUUAGGAGGAACACCAGUGGCGAAGGCGGCCUGCUGGACGACAACUGACGGUGAGGCGCGAAAGCGUGGGGAGCAAACAGGAUUAGAUACCCCUGUAGUC